RNAcentral lists this ribosomal RNA (254 nucleotides) under uncultured bacterium. RNAcentral's name for it is "partial 16S ribosomal RNA". It matches the Rfam family "Bacterial small subunit ribosomal RNA", at positions 524 to 776 of the family's 1533-position model. The record is from RNAcentral.
GACGUAGGGGGCCAGCGUUGCUCGGAAUCACUGGGCGUAAAGGGCGCGUAGGUGGUGGCUUAAGCGUGCGGUGAAAGCUCGGAGCUCAACUCCGAGUCGGCCGUGCGAACUGGGCUCACUGGAGCAUAGUAGAGGCAGGUGGAAUUCCGGGUGUAGCGGUGGAAUGCGUAGAUAUCAGGAGGAACACCGAUGGCGAAGGCAGCCCCCUGGGCUGACACUGACGCUCAGGCACGAAAGCGUGGGGAGCAAACAGG